This 519-nucleotide ribosomal RNA is filed under the name uncultured Tuber. RNAcentral describes it as "eukaryotic LSU rRNA". The stretch from base 84 to 237 matches the Rfam family "5.8S ribosomal RNA". The record is from RNAcentral. Lineage: Eukaryota; Fungi; Ascomycota; Pezizomycetes; Pezizales; Tuberaceae.
GAUGCCCCUAACAGGGCAUACUAUAUAAAACUCUAAACUUACUGUCUGAGAAGGCCAUGUGCCGUAAUCUUUAAACAUUUUAAAACUUUCAACAACGGAUCUCUUGGCUCUCGUAUCGAUGAAGAACGCAGCGAAAUGCGAUAAGUAAUGUGAAUUGCAGAAUUCAGUGAAUCAUCGAAUCUUUGAACGCACAUUGCGCCCUUUGGUAUUCCAUAGGGCAUGCCUGUUCGAGCGUCACUAACAACCCCAUCACAAAAAGUGUGGUAUUGGCAGAAGUGGGUAGGGCUAGCGGUGCUGGCCCCACUCUGCUGGAAUGAAUAGGCCGGAAAUGUAGACCAUUGUCACAGACUUUCAGAGUAUUUUGAAAUGCUAAAUUAGUUUGUAGGCCUGGUUGGAAUCUAGGCCAUUCGACCCCUAUUCUGUGUAAAGCAGUAAUGUUGACCUCGGAUCAGGUAGGAAUACCCGCUGAACUUAAGCAUAUCAAUAAGCGGAGGAAAAGAAACCAACAGGGAUUGCCCC